RNAcentral lists this transfer RNA (61 nucleotides) under Agonita chinensis. RNAcentral's name for it is "tRNA-Leu". It matches the Rfam family "tRNA". From Rfam's summary of the family: Transfer RNA (tRNA) molecules are approximately 80 nucleotides in length. Their secondary structure includes four short double-helical elements and three loops (D, anti-codon, and T loops). The record is from RNAcentral. Lineage: Eukaryota; Metazoa; Arthropoda; Insecta; Coleoptera; Chrysomelidae.
GUUAUUUUGGCAGAGUAGUGCACAGGAUUUAGAAUCUUUAUAUGUAAAUUUACAAAUAACA